UGUUCACUUAAUUUAGUUAUUAUAGGUUGAUUCUACCUAUUUAAAAUGGUUAAAAUUUAAUUUUACAUGUGAAUUUUUGUGUGUUUAAUAUAAAUUCUAAAAGAAUUAUGUUAUAUUUAUUCGCAGUUAAAAUUCUUAUUGAAUAAGGUAUUUUAGUUUUAGUUAAAAUUUUUUAAGUAGUUAAAAAUUGUGCCAGCAAACGCGGUUAUACAAUUUUACUUUAAUUAUUUUUUUUAAAAAGUAUUUAUUUAUUAAUUUUGAAAUUAAUUAAUUAUUUAUUUGGUGAAAUUUUAUUUAUUUUUUUAUUUUUGGUUGAGAAUAAAUAUGAAACUCAUGUUUUGUAGACUAGGAUUAGAUACCCUAUUAUUAUGAGUUUAAAAUUAAGAUUUUUGGUAUUAAUAGUUAUGAUCUUUAAAUUAAAAGAUUUUGGCGGUGAUUUAAUCUUGUUAGAGGAAUCUGUUCUUUAAUUGAUAAUCCACGUUGGGUAUUACUUUAAUUUAGCUUGUAUAUCUCUGUCAAUUAGAGUGUUUUAUUAGAUUAUUCUCUUUCAUUAUUUUAAAUAAUAAAUGUCAGGUCAAGGUGCAGUGAUAUUAAAGGUUGAAAUGGAUUACAUUUAAUGUAUUUAAUUGGAUCAUAUUUAUUUGUAUUUUAUGUGAAAAAGGAUUUAAAAGUAAAUUUUAAUAUCUAUUAUUUUUGAUUUAAGCUCUAAAUCAUGUACAUAUCGCCCGUCACUCUCAUAAAAAUGAGAUAAGUCGUAACAAAGUAAUUUUAUUGGAAAAUGGAGUUAGAUAUU
RNAcentral lists this non-coding RNA (793 nucleotides) under Dindymus rubiginosus. The record is from RNAcentral. Lineage: Eukaryota; Metazoa; Arthropoda; Insecta; Hemiptera; Pyrrhocoridae.